RNAcentral lists this ribosomal RNA (433 nucleotides) under uncultured microorganism. Its description in RNAcentral is "bacterial SSU rRNA". It matches the Rfam family "Bacterial small subunit ribosomal RNA", at positions 346 to 795 of the family's 1533-position model. The record is from RNAcentral.
UGGCUGCAGCAAGGAAUAUUGGGCAAUGGGCGAAAGCCUGACCCAGCGACGCCGCGUGGGGGAAGAAGGCCCUCGGGUCGUAAACCCCUUUUCCCAGGGAAGAAUAAUGACGGUACCUGGGGAAUAAGCAUCGGCUAACUACGUGCCAGCAGCCGCGGUAAUACGUAGGAUGCAAGCGUUAUCCGGAUUUACUGGGCGUAAAGAGGGCGUAGGCGGUUCUUCAAGUCGGUUGUGAAAUCUCUCGGCUUAACCGGGAGAGGUCAGUCGAUACUGUUGGGCUAGAGUGCAGCAGAGGGAGGUUGAAUUCCCGGUGUAGUGGUGAUAUGCGUAGAUAUCGGGAGGAAGACCAGUGGCGAAAGCGGCCUCCUGGGCUGUUACUGACGCUGAGGCCCGAAGGCGUGGGGAGCAAACAGGAUUAGAUACCCUUGUAGUC